Molecule: ribosomal RNA, 253 nt
Filed under: uncultured bacterium
Lineage: Bacteria
Description: partial 16S ribosomal RNA
Rfam family: Bacterial small subunit ribosomal RNA
Source: RNAcentral
UACAGAGGGUGCGAGCGUUAAUCGGAAUUACUGGGCGUAAAGGGCGCGUAGGCGGUUUAUCAAGUGAGAUGUGAAAUCCCCGGGCUUAACCUGGGAACUGCAUCUUAAACUGGUAAGCUGGAGUACUGUAGAGGACAGUGGAAUUUCCGGUGUAGCGGUGAAAUGCGUAGAGAUCGGAAGGAACAUCAGUGGCGAAGGCGACUGUCUGGACAGAUACUGACGCUGAGGCGCGAAAGCGUGGGGAGCGAACAGG